GAGUUUGAUCAUGGCUCAGGACGAACGCUGGCGGUGCGCCUUAUGCAUGCAAGUCGAGCGAAGCUUUCAGUAGUUUACUACAGAAAAUGACUGAGCGGCGAACGGGUGAGUAACGCGUGAGCAAUCUACCUUAGUUACAGGGAUAGCCCGAGGAAACUCGGAUUAAUACCUGAUAUUCUUUACAUUUCGCAUGAAAUCAAAAGGAAAGGUCAGCCGAACUAAGAUGAGCUCGCGUUCUAUCAGCUAGUUGGUGAGGUAAAAGCUCACCAAGGCAACGACGGAUAGCUGGUCUGAGAGGACGAUCAGCCACACUGGGACUGAGACACGGCCCAGACUCCUACGGGAGGCUGCAGCAGGGAAUAUUGCGCAAUGAGCGAAAGCUUGACGCAGCGACACCGCGUGUGGGAUGACGGAUCUAGGUUUGUAAACCACUUUCAGGAGGGAAGAAAAUGACGGUACCUCCACAAGAAGCCCCGGCCAACUACGUGCCAGCAGCCGCGGUAAUACGUAGGGGGCGAGCGUUGUCCGGAUUUAUUGGGCGUAAAGAGCUCGUAGGCGGUUCAACAAGUCGGUCGUAAAAGUUCAGGGCUCAACCCUGAAAUGUCGAUCGAUACUGUUGUGACUAGGAUACGGUAGAGGUGAGUGGAAUUCCGAGUGU
RNAcentral lists this ribosomal RNA (658 nucleotides) under uncultured bacterium. RNAcentral's name for it is "bacterial SSU rRNA". It matches the Rfam family "Bacterial small subunit ribosomal RNA", at positions 9 to 676 of the family's 1533-position model. The record is from RNAcentral.